Molecule: ribosomal RNA, 758 nt
Filed under: uncultured bacterium
Lineage: Bacteria
Description: bacterial SSU rRNA
Rfam family: Bacterial small subunit ribosomal RNA
Source: RNAcentral
AGAGUUUGAUCCUGGCUCAGAGCGAACGCUGGCGGCAUGCUUAACACAUGCAAGUCUGACGGGCCUGGGGCUUGCUCCGGGUCAGUGGCGGACGGGUGAGGAGCGCGUAGGAACGCAUCCAAGGGUGGGGGACAACCGCGGGAAACUGCGGCUAAUACCGCAUGGGGCCUGAGGGCCAAAGGCUGGGAGACCAGCCGCCCAUGGAGCGGCCUGCGUCCGAUUAGCUAGUUGGUGAGGUGACGGCUUACCAAGGCUACGAUCGGUAGCUGGUCUGAGAGGAUGAUCAGCCACACUGGGACUGAGACACGGCCCAGACUCUUACGGGAGGCAGCAGUGGGGAAUAUUGGACAAUGGGCGCAAGCCUGAUCCAGCAAUGCCGCGUGGAUGAAGAAGGUCUUCGGAUUGUAAAGUCCUUUCGGCGGGGACGAUGAUGACGGUACCCGCAGAAGAAGCCCCGGCUAACUUCGUGCCAGCAGCCGCGGUAAUACGAAGGGGGCUAGUGUUGCUCGGAAUGACUGGGCGUAAAGGGCGCGUAGGCGGAAUGCUUUGUCGGAUGUGAAAUUCCAGGGCUUAACCUUGGGGCUGCAUUCGAGACGGGUAUUCUUGAGUGGAGAAGAGGGUCGUGGAAUUCCCAGUGUAGAGGUGAAAUUCGUAGAUAUUGGGAAGAACACCGGUGGCGAAGGCGGCGACCUGGUCUUUGACUGACGCUGAGGCGCGAAAGCGUGGGGAGCAAACAGGAUUAGAUACCCUGGUAGUCC